RNAcentral lists this long non-coding RNA (327 nucleotides) under Malus domestica (apple). RNAcentral describes it as "long non-coding RNA (MDOM_LNC014291)". The record is from RNAcentral. Lineage: Eukaryota; Viridiplantae; Streptophyta; Magnoliopsida; Rosales; Rosaceae.
GGUUUGUGAGGGCAGAUCAGAUUGAUCUGAAGAGCUUGGAUGAGCAGCUGGAGAGGCAUCUCAACAGGGUCUUGACUUUGGAGAAGAACAAGAUCAUGAGAGACCCCGAAACCAAUUCCAACAGCAUCCACCUCACAACCACCUCCACCUCCAAUUCAACCGUCACAACCACCGCCACCUCCACUUCCUCCAUGACCCUCUCCAUCCCCAAACGCCACCGCCAGGAGUGGGAGAUCGACCCCUCCAAGCUCCUCAUCAAGUCCGUCAUUGCUCGUGGCACCUUUGGCACCGUACACCGUGGCAUCUACGACGGUCAAGACGUCGCCG